AACGCACAUUGCGCCCUUUGGUAUUCCGAAGGGUAUGCCUGUUCGAGCGUCAUUAUCACCCCUCAAGCCCCUAUGGCUUGGUGUUGGAGGGUCUGUGGUUGGGCCUUAGGCUCGACCCCUCUUAAAGACAAUGACGGCGGCCUCGGGGGACCCCCGGUACACUGAGCUUCUUUACUAAGCACGUAUCGGAUUAAGGGUUGCCCGGGACACGGUCUACUCCCUUUGCUGGGAAAUCUUUUUUCAAAGGUUGACCUCGAAUCAGGUAGGAAUACCCGCUGAACUUAA
RNAcentral lists this unclassified non-coding RNA (285 nucleotides) under uncultured fungus. RNAcentral describes it as "sequence contains ITS2". The record is from RNAcentral. Lineage: Eukaryota; Fungi.